RNAcentral lists this long non-coding RNA (674 nucleotides) under Pan troglodytes (chimpanzee). RNAcentral describes it as "long non-coding RNA NONPTRT018547". The record is from RNAcentral. Lineage: Eukaryota; Metazoa; Chordata; Mammalia; Primates; Hominidae.
UGAGAAGAAUUCAUUGAUUCACUCGUGGCCAGUAAGUCAUCUGACAAACCCUUGUGUACUUCUGAUGGGAUAGGAGUGUUUGUAGACAACAGGCACACAAAUAUAACAUGCAGCCCAGUGCAGCUCAGGAGCAGCCUUCCAUGGAUAAGCGGUUGGUACCUACAGUGUGCUCCUGUCCUUGCUAAUCUGAACACAUAGGUAGUAACCUUAAGCAUGUCUCAAUCUUCUGACUUGUGAUGAGGUUUCCAAUUCUUGUUCCUGACUUUAGAAUGAAGUUUGGAGAGUUGUCAUUAGGUCUCUAGGUUCUGAGGAUUACUGUGGGGUGGGCAGAGGGAGAGAAGAGUGUUGGGGCCAGAUGUUCCUGUGCUUCUACCAGAAAGUUGAUUUGCCCAGUGUACCACCCUCACUUGGCAGGCCUGAGCAGAGUGGCCUGCCACUGACAACCCAGAGAAAGAAGGUGGGCUGUGAUGAGAGUCAUGAUCAGUGAGUGGCUUCCAUGGCAGAAAGUUCUGUGUAGUUCUUGGGGGAUGUGAGUAUAAUUCUAACAUCUUUGUCAUCAGUGUUGACAUCUCUUGAUUGUAUCCUGUCAUUCCAUUUGAGAUCUUCCUGGUUCUGGCUGGCAUCCUCUGACAUCACUCCAGCAGAAGAAAGGGAAGGAACACGCUGCAUUACUG